ACGGAGAGAAAUCUAUAGUCGAUAUAAUGUUAGGUUUUAUUUUCUACGUGGUGUUUUUUUUCUCCGAAAUCACACACAAGAGUGCAAUCUUCUUCUAGAACAUAGUUUGUUCACACGGUCAAUUUAAUCGGGUUUUCUCUCGCCGCGUUGGUCUUUGAAUUCUCCUUUUAGGCGGUCUCGGAUGGAUGCACGUUUUGACCAACACCGAUAAUGGACGUUCGUGAUAGCGAAUGCUUGUAUACUGUUCUAUCGACCAAUCAGAGCGACCGUAACU
Non-coding RNA from Cinara cedri, 274 nucleotides. Lineage: Eukaryota; Metazoa; Arthropoda; Insecta; Hemiptera; Aphididae. The record is from the annotation of a GenBank genome assembly.